UGGGGAAUCUUCCGCAAUGGACGAAAGUCUGACGGAGCAACGCCGCGUGAGUGAAGAAGGUUUUCGGAUCGUAAAACUCUGUCUUUUGGGGCGAACGUGAGUAUGGUGAACAAUCAUAGUCAGUGACGGUACCAAAGGAGGAAGCCACGGCUAACUACGUGCCAGCAGCCGCGGUAAUACGUAGGUGGCAAGCGUUGUCCGGAAUUAUUGGGCGUAAAGAGCGCGUAGGCGGGAUAGUCAGUCUGUUGUAAAAGUGCGGGGCUCAACCCCGUGAUGGCAAUGGAAACAGCUAUUCUUGAGUGCAGGAGAGGAAAGUGGAAUUCCCAGUGUAGCGGUGAAAUGCGUAGAUAUUGGGAGGAACACCAGUGGCGAAGGCGACUUUCUGGACUGUGUCUGACGCUGAGGCGCGAAAGCCAGGGGAGCGAACGGGAUUAGAUACCCCGGUAGUCCUGGCCGUAAACGAUGGGUACUAGGUGUGGGGGGUAUCGACCCCUUCCGUGCCGGAGUUAACGCAAUAAGUACCCCGCCUGGGGAGUACGGUCGCAAGACUGAAACUCAAAUGAAUUGAC
Molecule: ribosomal RNA, 569 nt
Filed under: uncultured bacterium
Lineage: Bacteria
Description: partial 16S ribosomal RNA
Rfam family: Bacterial small subunit ribosomal RNA
Source: RNAcentral